RNAcentral lists this ribosomal RNA (254 nucleotides) under uncultured bacterium. RNAcentral describes it as "partial 16S ribosomal RNA". It matches the Rfam family "Bacterial small subunit ribosomal RNA", at positions 524 to 776 of the family's 1533-position model. The record is from RNAcentral.
UACGGGGGGAGCAAGCGUUGUUCGGAUUUACUGGGCGUAAAGGGCGCGUAGGCGGCCACUGCAAGUCGGUUGUGAAAUCUCCGGGCUUAACCCGGAAAGGUCAAUCGAUACUGCAGGGCUAGAGUGCAGAAGGGGCAACUGGAAUUCUCGGUGUAGCGGUGAAAUGCGCAGAUAUCAGGAGGAACACCAAUGGCGAAGGCAGCUCGCUGGGACGUGACUGACGCUGAGACGCGAAAGCGUGGGGAGCAAACAGG